UACGUAGGUGGCAAGCGUUGUCCGGAAUUAUUGGGCGUAAAGGGCGCGUAGGUGGUUUUUUAAGUCAGACGUGAAAACUCCGGGCUUAACUUGGAGAUUGCGUUUGAUACUGGAAGACUUGAGGACAGGAGAGGAAAGCGGAAUUCCCAGUGUAGCGGUGAAAUGCGUAGAGAUUGGGAAGAACACCAGUGGCGAAGGCGGCUUUCUGGACUGACCCUGACACUGAGGCGCGAAAGCCAGGGGAG
RNAcentral lists this ribosomal RNA (245 nucleotides) under uncultured bacterium. RNAcentral describes it as "partial 16S ribosomal RNA". It matches the Rfam family "Bacterial small subunit ribosomal RNA", at positions 524 to 768 of the family's 1533-position model. The record is from RNAcentral.